RNAcentral lists this unclassified non-coding RNA (332 nucleotides) under soil metagenome. Its description in RNAcentral is "partial contains 5.8S ribosomal RNA, internal transcribed spacer 2, and large subunit ribosomal RNA". The stretch from base 1 to 120 matches the Rfam family "5.8S ribosomal RNA", at positions 35 to 154 of the family's 154-position model. The record is from RNAcentral.
GAUGAAGAACGUAGCGAAAUGCGAUACGUAAUGUGAAUUGCAGAUUUCAGUGAAUCAUCGAAUCUUUGAACGCACAUUGCGCCCGCUAGUAUUCUGGCGGGCAUGCCUGUUCGAGCGUCAUUUCAACCAUCAAGCCCUAGGCUUGCGUUGGAGCCCUGCGGCUGCUGCAGGCUCCCAAAUCCAGUGGCGGGCUCGUCGUCGUACCGAGUGCAGUAAACAUCCUCGCUCAGGGAACGUGACGGGUUCUUGCCGUGAAACCCCCCACAUAUCAAGGUUGACCUCGGAUCAGGUAGGAAUACCCGCUGAACUUAAGCAUAUCAAUAAGCGGAGGA